Molecule: ribosomal RNA, 860 nt
Filed under: uncultured archaeon
Lineage: Archaea
Description: bacterial SSU rRNA
Rfam family: Archaeal small subunit ribosomal RNA
Source: RNAcentral
CCCCACUGCUAUCGAGGUUGGGACUAAGCCAUGCUAGUCGAACGACCCGGACUAUGGCGGGAAGUGGCAGACUGCUCAGUAACACGUAGCUAACCUACCCUUGGGACGGGUACAACCCCGGGAAACUGAGGUUAAUACCCGAUAGGUGUGGAAUCCUGGAAUGGUACCACGCCCAAAUGUAAACGCAUCCAUGUUUGCGUAAACGCCCGAGGAUGGGGCUGCGGCCGAUCAGGCAGUUGGUGAGGUAACGGCUCACCAAACCUUUGACCGGUACGGGCCAUGAGAGUGGUAGCCCGGAGAUGGGCACUGAGACAAGGGCCCAGGCCCUACGGGGCGCAGCAGGCGCGAAACCUCCACAAUUCACGAAAGUGAGAUGGGGUUACCUCGAGUGCCGCCUGAAGAAGGCGGCUUUUCCAUUGUGUAAUGAGCCGUGGGAAUAAGAGGGGGGCAAGACUGGUGUCAGCCGCCGCGGUAACACCAGCCCCUCGAGUGGUGGGGAUGAUUAUUUGGCCUAAAGCGUCCGUAGCCUGCUCUGUAAAUCUUUCGUUAAAUCCAGCGUCCUAAGCGUUGGGCUGCGAGAGAGACUGCAGAGCUAGAGGGUGGGAGAGGUCAGCGGUAUUCCUGGGGUAGGGGCGAAAUCCAUUGAUCCCAGGAGGACCACCAGUGGCGAAGGCUGCUGACUAGAACACGCCUGACGGUGAGGGACUAAAGCUGGGGUAGCGAAUCGGAUUAGAUACCCGAGUAGUCCCAGCCGUAAACGAUGCAGGCUAGGUGUUGGGUUGGCCACGUGCCAGCUCAGUGCCACAGGGAAGCCAUUAAGCCUGCCGCCUGGGGAGUACGGCCGCAAGGCUGAAACUUAA